CGCAACGGCCAUACUCGCACGUGAACACACCAGUUGCUCCGUCCGAUCACUGAAGUUAAGGCAACGUCGGGCCCGGUUAGUACUUGGAAUGGGUGAGCCGCCUGGGAACCGCGGGUGCUGUUGGUA
RNAcentral lists this ribosomal RNA (126 nucleotides) under Orchesella cincta. The record is from RNAcentral. Lineage: Eukaryota; Metazoa; Arthropoda; Collembola; Entomobryomorpha; Orchesellidae.